Molecule: long non-coding RNA, 260 nt
Filed under: Elaeis guineensis (African oil palm)
Lineage: Eukaryota; Viridiplantae; Streptophyta; Magnoliopsida; Arecales; Arecaceae
Description: long non-coding RNA (EGUI_LNC064248)
Source: RNAcentral
AGGAGAGGCUCGGAUGUUCCAAGGUCGCUGACGAAUCUACUAUUGUCGGAUGCUUCGGGUGCUGACGUUUCAGGCAGGAGUCACCUGCUGUAGGAGCUCGGAUGGAGAUUUUUGUUGAUGAAGUCUGAAGAAGUCUGUCUGGAACUUAUCUGAUGCAGAAGCUCAUCUGGAGAUCAUCUGUCGGGAAAGUCUGAUUUUAUGGGGAGCUUGGUAGGAGGUCGGCCGGCGAUGGACUUCGGAUAGCACUGGGGAGGCUCGGC